AAAAUAUAAAGCCAAACCUGUCGUGAAGCAGGGACGGAAAACCAAAGGGUCUUGUCGGAAGAUAGCCAGGUCGCAAAA
RNAcentral lists this non-coding RNA (78 nucleotides) under Deltaproteobacteria bacterium. RNAcentral's name for it is "c-di-GMP sequence". It matches the Rfam family "c-di-GMP-I riboswitch aptamer". From Rfam's summary of the family: GEMM was predicted in a large-scale screen for bacterial structured RNA regulatory elements. Genes associated with GEMM are involved in a diverse array of functions, including chemotaxis regulation, signal transduction, secretion and chitin. Lineage: Bacteria; Pseudomonadati; Myxococcota; Myxococcia. The record is from RNAcentral.